GUGCUCGUUUUGACAACACAUAUAAUAAAAUUGGAAAGAUGCAGAGAAAAUUAGCAUGGCCUCUGGAUAAGGAUGACACACAAAAUCAUAAAGUAUUACAUAUUUUU
Molecule: small nuclear RNA, 107 nt
Organism: Sarcophilus harrisii (Tasmanian devil)
Lineage: Eukaryota; Metazoa; Chordata; Mammalia; Dasyuromorphia; Dasyuridae
Source: Ensembl